GAUGAAGAAACGCAGCGAAAUGCGAUAAGUAAUGUGAAUUGCAGAAUUCAGUGAAUCAUCGAAUCUUUGAACGCACAUUGCGCCCGCCAGCAUUCUGGCGGGCAUGCCUGUUCGAGCGUCAUUUCAACCCUCAAGCUCUGCUUGGUGUUGGGGCCCUACGGUUGACGUAGGCCCUUAAAGGUAGUGGCGGACCCUCUCGGAGCCUCCUUUGCGUAGUAACUAACGUCUCGCAUUGGGAUUCGGAGGGACUCUUGCCGUAAAACCCCCAAAUUUUCUAAUGGUUGACCUCGGAUCAGGUAGGAAUACCCGCUGAACUUAAGCAUAUCAUAAGCGGAGGA
RNAcentral lists this unclassified non-coding RNA (338 nucleotides) under soil metagenome. RNAcentral's name for it is "partial contains 5.8S ribosomal RNA, internal transcribed spacer 2, and large subunit ribosomal RNA". The stretch from base 1 to 121 matches the Rfam family "5.8S ribosomal RNA", at positions 35 to 154 of the family's 154-position model. The record is from RNAcentral.